Ophiophagus hannah (king cobra) is the source of this 46-nucleotide regulatory RNA element. It matches the Rfam family "Histone 3' UTR stem-loop". Rfam says of the family: The mRNAs of metazoan histone genes lack a poly-A tail. 3' end processing occurs at a site between a highly conserved stem-loop (modelled by this family) and a purine rich region around 20 nts downstream (the histone downstream element, or HDE). The record is from Rfam. NCBI's taxonomy places the organism in Eukaryota, Metazoa, Chordata, Lepidosauria, Squamata, Elapidae.
CCAAAGGCUCUUUUAAGAGCCACCUACAAAAACGUUAAAAGAUGCU